AUUCAUAUCAUUAUAACACGUGAACAAAACAUUGCAUAAAGUGUGAAUCUACACUUAAAAAGUUUUUCUUUAGGAACAUGAUUACUGCAUACAAGUUUUUCAUCCCAAAUUUGCAUUUCUCCAAGCGAGCACUAAGCAAGCAAGCUACCACGCCUUUCUUCUAUUCUUGAAGAACUCUAAUGUGACCUUAGUACUCCGUAAGACUGAAGCCAAUGAUGGUUAAAAAUCGACGUGGAGGAUGUAAACACCCAAUCACCACCGAUCAAAUGCAAAGAUUGAAAGGACAUCAUAAUUACGUAACAACAGCUUUCAAAAGAUUUCUCGGGAUUUAUUGGAAAAGUAACUAAUUAGUAGUAUGGUUUAUCUUUAUGUUAGGGUAUUUUUAAUACUAAUAUAUUAAGGUUUUAUAUUAGAAUAGGGAUUAUGAUGAUUUGUUGUUAGGGUUUAACAUUACUUUUGUUUAUAUCAUACUUCACCAAUCUCGAAACUAUCGAGUACCUGUCAACUUUAUACCUUCAAAGACCCGGAUUCAUGUUAAGGCAUCCAUGCUGAAGCACAAGGUUUUUCUCCAACCAAGAGGCUAAUCACAACACGACACAUGACAACAUAAGAAUAAAGCUUAUAGGGUCCCACAUCGACCGUGGACAAAAGCCGAAGACUCUCCUCAACUAUAAAAGGAGAUCAUUCUCAUACAAUUAAUCUUUAAUGUCAUUAUUCCACUUAAUCCAUUAUUAGAACUUACUAAUGAUGAUCAUAUUUGAACCUUUGUAUUAUGCAAACUCUACAUUAUUAAUGAG
Molecule: small RNA, 797 nt
Filed under: Malus domestica (apple)
Lineage: Eukaryota; Viridiplantae; Streptophyta; Magnoliopsida; Rosales; Rosaceae
Description: sRNA MD09G0045700
Source: RNAcentral